This 253-nucleotide ribosomal RNA is filed under the name uncultured bacterium. Its description in RNAcentral is "partial 16S ribosomal RNA". It matches the Rfam family "Bacterial small subunit ribosomal RNA", at positions 524 to 776 of the family's 1533-position model. The record is from RNAcentral.
UACGUAGGGUGCAAGCGUUGUCCGGAAUUAUUGGGCGUAAAGAGCUCGUAGGCGGUUUGUCGCGUCGGCUGUGAAAACUCGGGGCUCAACCCCGAGCCUGCAGUCGAUGCGGGCAGACUAGAGUGCUGUAGGGGAGACUGGAAUUCCUGGUGUAGCGGUGAAAUGCGCAGAUAUCAGGAGGAACACCGGUGGCGAAGGCGGGUCUCUGGGCAGUAACUGACGCUGAGGAGCGAAAGCGUGGGGAGCAAACAGG